RNAcentral lists this transfer RNA (66 nucleotides) under Lonchophylla robusta. RNAcentral's name for it is "tRNA-Tyr". It matches the Rfam family "tRNA". Rfam says of the family: Transfer RNA (tRNA) molecules are approximately 80 nucleotides in length. Their secondary structure includes four short double-helical elements and three loops (D, anti-codon, and T loops). The record is from RNAcentral. Lineage: Eukaryota; Metazoa; Chordata; Mammalia; Chiroptera; Phyllostomidae.
GGUAAUAUGGCUGAGUAAGCAUUAGACUGUAAAUCUAAAGACAGGGGUUGAGUCCCCUUAUUAUCA